This 378-nucleotide unclassified non-coding RNA is filed under the name uncultured Actinomycetes bacterium. Its description in RNAcentral is "uncultured actinobacterium contains 16S-23S intergenic spacer region". Lineage: Bacteria; Bacillati; Actinomycetota; Actinomycetes. The record is from RNAcentral.
UCACCGUUUGCACGGGCAGUUUCUCUAGAGUCCCCGACAUUACUCGCUGGCAACUAAAGAUAGGGGUUGCGCUCGUUGCGGGACUUAACCCAACACCUCACGACACGAGCUGACGACAGCCAUGCACCACCUGUAUACCGACCACAAGGGGGCGACCAUCUCUGGCCGUUUCCGGUAUAUGUCAAGCCUUGGUAAGGUUCUUCGCGUUGCGUCGAAUUAAGCCACAUGCUCCGCUGCUUGUGCGGGCCCCCGUCAAUUCCUUUGGGUUUUAGCCUUGCGGCCGUACUCCCCAGGCGGGGAACUUAAUGCGUUAGCUACGGCACGGAACCCGUUGAUGAGGUCCCACACCUAGUGCCCAACGUUUACGGCAUGGACUAC